UAUUAAAGGCAACGCCUGCCCAGUGAAUAAUUUAACGGCCGCGGUACCCUAACCGUGCAAAGGUAGCGUAAUAACUUGUCUAUUAAUUGUAGACCCGUAUGAAAGGCAUAAUGAGGGCUUAUCUGUCUCUUUUAGUAAAUCAAUUAAACUGAUCUCCUAGUCCAAAAGCUAGGAUACAACCAUAAGACCAGAAGACCCUGUGAAGCUUUAACUAACCUAUCAAACCCAAUGAUAGCUCCUUUAGGUUGGGGCGACCUUGGAAAAAAAAAGAACUUCCAAACACAUAAUCUAAAAUUACCCACUCAGGCCGACAAGCCUACAACGACCCAGCAUAGCUGACAAUUGAACCAAGUUACUCCAGGGAUAACAGCGCUAUCUUCUUCAAGAGCCCAUAUCAAAAAGAAGGUUUACGACCUCGAUGUUGGAUCAGGACAUCCUAAUGGUGCAGCCGCUAUUAAGGGUUCGUUUGUUCACGAUUAC
This 480-nucleotide ribosomal RNA is filed under the name Acanthophis praelongus (Northern death adder). Its description in RNAcentral is "partial 16S ribosomal RNA". It matches the Rfam family "Bacterial large subunit ribosomal RNA", at positions 1844 to 2591 of the family's 2925-position model. The record is from RNAcentral. Lineage: Eukaryota; Metazoa; Chordata; Lepidosauria; Squamata; Elapidae.